This 71-nucleotide transfer RNA is filed under the name Ostracion rhinorhynchos (horn-nosed boxfish). Its description in RNAcentral is "tRNA-Tyr". It matches the Rfam family "tRNA". From Rfam's summary of the family: Transfer RNA (tRNA) molecules are approximately 80 nucleotides in length. The record is from RNAcentral. Lineage: Eukaryota; Metazoa; Chordata; Actinopteri; Tetraodontiformes; Ostraciidae.
GGUAGGAUGGCUGAGUUUUUAAGCGGUGGAUUGUAGCCCCAUGUACAGAGGUUUAAAUCCUCUUCCUGCCA